This is a non-coding RNA of Heterocephalus glaber (naked mole-rat), 364 nucleotides long. The record is from RefSeq and is a predicted model, not a curated record. NCBI's taxonomy places the organism in Eukaryota, Metazoa, Chordata, Mammalia, Rodentia, Bathyergidae.
UUGUACCAAGGGCAUAACUCCAGGCUUCAACCAGUAUUUUCAGCUAUGACAUUUCAGUCCAAACUAGACCAACAAUUCUCUCUGUAAUUGAAGAACAAACAUCAUUCACAUGAAAAUGACUUUGUACAGGCUUUUCAUACAGACAGAAAUAUAAAUGGAACUUUUUUUCAAAUGCUAGAAGUCCCUGGCCUUGAGUUCUCGGAAUUGAACUCCGGUCGUGGCUCUUGCGAAGCAGGCGGCGAAACUACUGAGCUAAAUCCCCAGCCCCUUUCCCUCCUUUUUAUUUUUAAAAUACAAUGUGUUCUAUCCACUAUUCAUCAUCUUGAUUUUUAUGUAACAAAUUAGAGAUUUUUGCAUAUUGAUA